GGGAAUCUUCCACAAUGGACGCAAGUCUGAUGGAGCAACGCCGCGUGAGUGAAGAAGGCUUUCGGGUCGUAAAACUCUGUUGUUGGAGAAGAAUGGUCGGCAGAGUAACUGUUGUCGGCGUGACGGUAUCCAACCAGAAAGCCACGGCUAACUACGUGCCAGCAGCCGCGGUAAUACGUAGGUGGCAAGCGUUAUCCGGAUUUAUUGGGCGUAAAGCGAGCGCAGGCGGUUUUUUAAGUCUGAUGUGAAAGCCCUCGGCUUAACCGAGGAAGCGCAUCGGAAACUGGGAAACUUGAGUGCAGAAGAGGACAGUGGAACUCCAUGUGUAGCGGUGAAAUGCGUAGAUAUAUGGAAGAACACCAGUGGCGAAGGCGGCUGUCUGGUCUGUAACUGACGCUGAGGCUCGAAAGCAUGGGUAGCGAACAGGAUUAGAUACCCUGGUAGUCCAUGCCGUAAACGAUGAAUGCUAGGUGUUGGAGGGUUUCCGCCCUUCAGUGCCGCAGCUAACGCAUUAAGCAUUCCGCCUGGGGAGUACGACCGCAAGGUUGAAAC
RNAcentral lists this ribosomal RNA (552 nucleotides) under uncultured bacterium. Its description in RNAcentral is "partial 16S ribosomal RNA". It matches the Rfam family "Bacterial small subunit ribosomal RNA", at positions 357 to 900 of the family's 1533-position model. The record is from RNAcentral.